Molecule: long non-coding RNA, 1357 nt
Filed under: Chrysemys picta bellii (western painted turtle)
Lineage: Eukaryota; Metazoa; Chordata; Testudines; Emydidae
Description: lncRNA (ENSCPBG00000012735.1)
Source: RNAcentral
UAUUUUUUUUUACAAAUAUUUGCACUGUUAAACAAAAGACAUAGUAUUUUUCAAUUCACCUCAUACCAGUACUGUAGUGCAAUCUCUUUGUUGUAAAUGUGCAAUUUACAAAUGUAGAUUUUUUUUGUUACAUGACUGCGCUCAAAAGCAAAACAAUGUAAAACUUUAGAGCCUAGAUGUCCACUCAGUCCUACUUCUUGUUCAGCCAAUCGCUAAGACAUUAAUUAAAUUAAUUAAUUAAUAAGGUCACAAGGGAGCUGCCCCUCAUCAGCUGCUCAAGACUGUGGAUUUGGGCACAGGUCAAUUCACUAAACAGCUGCUGUGAUUCCCCCGCCACAUUUCUCCUUCCAGGGGCGAGAUCAGUUUAUUAAACAGCCUGACCUAAAAAAAUCAAAGUGGAGCCGGGAGGCGGCCGGGCAUCGUGUCCAUCACUCGGUAGCUGAGGCGCGUCCGCCAGCAGGGGUCGCCUCACGCCCUGGAAAUCCGCUCCAGCGCUGCAGGCACCUGGGGCUGGGUUUGUUCGCGGCUCUAUUGCUAUCGCAACGGGAGCUUCGUGUCGCAGGAGAGGGACGCGCAGGUCCCGCCAGCCAGAGCGCGCAGCUCCCUUGCCUGCAGCCGGGGCUUCCCCUGCGUCCUUGUCUGGUGCUGGCCGAGCAGGCCUGGCAGAGGGCGCUGCCCCUCCCUGGGAGCCGCUGGAGGAGGAUGCGCUCAGAGCCGCGCCAUGGGGAGCUCGGUGAGGAAGGGCAAAGCGGUGCUGCCGGCAGAACAGGCUGCCCGCCCGAGCAGGGAGCAGCCCCACCGAGCAGCAACAGAAGAUUAUCACCAUGAAGCUCAGACUGCAAACAAUGGACAAGCCAUUACAGCUUCCUGCAAAAAUAAAGAUACAGACCUGCAGUUUAAAAUACAGGCCUACAUAGAUAAAAACACUGUUAUGAUCUUCAGUAACACAGCGUGCAGUCUGUCUGCUAAGGUAAAAUGUUAAUUUUCACGCAGAGAUAUACAGGAUUUGUCAUAUCUUACAAGUUCACUGUUCUUCAUUUCACUAAUGUAACUGAGUUGCAAGAUCCCAUUGACUUCAGCAUGGCUCCACAUGGGCACAGGAGUCUGUCCAUGUGAAGUCAUUUUCAAUGAAACAGGUCUUAGUUGCUGUCUCCUCUACUUUUCCUAGUCCAACCAUAGCCAGAACCAUCUUUCUAUUUUUUUCCCUGCAAAGUGUAUGUCUGGUCUCUAAUCCCAGCUACAGAUUGCUCCUGUGUCUGGCACCCAUCCCGCUGUCCCUGACAAAUAUCUGGUCCUGACCUUCCAGCUCAUAGGCCUCAGUUCAGCAAAGUACUUCAGCAUGCGCUUAAGUUUAAUU